GACGAACGCUGGCGGCGUGCUUAACACAUGCAAGUCGAACGGAAAGGCCCUGCUUUUGUGGGGUGCUCGAGUGGCGAACGGGUGAGUAACACGUGAGUAACCUGCCCUUGACUUUGGUAUAACUUCAGGAAACUGGGGCUAAUACCGGAUAGGAGCUCCUGCUGCAUGGUGGGGGUUGGAACGUUUCGGCGGUUGGGGAUGGACUCGCGGCUUAUCAGCUUGUUGGUGGGGUAGUGGCUUACCAAGGCUUUGACGGGUAGCCGGCCUGAGAGGGUGACCGGCCACAUUGGGACUGAGAUACGGCCCAGACUCCUACGGGAGGCAGCAGUGGGGAGUAUGGCACAAUGGGCGGAAGCCGGAUGCAGCAACGCCGCGUGCGGGAUGACGGCCUUCGGGUUGUAAACCGCUUUCGCCUGUGACGAAGCGUGAGUGGCGGUAAUGGGUAAAGAAGCACCGGCUAACUACGUG
RNAcentral lists this ribosomal RNA (468 nucleotides) under uncultured bacterium. RNAcentral's name for it is "partial 16S ribosomal RNA". It matches the Rfam family "Bacterial small subunit ribosomal RNA", at positions 28 to 507 of the family's 1533-position model. The record is from RNAcentral.